AACGCACAUUGCGCCCGCCAGUAUUCUGGCGGGCAUGCCUGUUCGAGCGUCAUUUCAACCCUCAAGCCCCAGUGGCCUGGUGUUGGGGACCGGCGACCUCGCCCGGGGGAACACCCCCGGCGCGUCCGCCGCCCCCGAAAUGAAUUGGCGGCCCCGUCGCGGCCUCCUCUGCGUAGUAGCACAACCUCGCAGCGGGAGCGCGACGCGGCCACUGCCGUAAAACGCCCAACUUUUUUUUAGAGUUGACCUCGGAUCAGGUAGGAAUACCCGCUGAACUUAAG
This 281-nucleotide unclassified non-coding RNA is filed under the name uncultured fungus. RNAcentral's name for it is "sequence contains ITS2". The stretch from base 1 to 52 matches the Rfam family "5.8S ribosomal RNA", at positions 103 to 154 of the family's 154-position model. Lineage: Eukaryota; Fungi. The record is from RNAcentral.